UAACAAAUUAGGAAAAAUUACAUUCGGAAUAUAAUUUAUAUAAGGCACGUUUAUUAUUAUAUAAAUAAAUUCGAUUUUAAAAUUGUUUAGCAGCAAUUAAAUUUCAAUUAACUUUAAUAUUUAUUUGAGAACGAUUAUAAUUUUACCCCCAAUUAUCAAAAACCCCAAUUAUUUAAUUAGACGUUUAAUUGCUUUAACCCACUAUAUUUUACCCUAAGAAUAAGUUACCCCGAUACUUUAAUCGUAACAGUCGUUUUGCUUUUUUUUCCUUUUUAACGUCCGCAAUAAAAAUACCUUUUUAUUUUUCGUAUAAAUUCCGUAAAAUGGCCAAAUAUUCGAUUUCGUUUUAAAAGUUUUUUCGUUAUAUGGAAUAUUUCCGUUUUAAUUGUUUUAAUUGCAACGUUUUGGGUUUUUUUUCGUGAAAAUUCGAAAUAUUAAUUUUUAAUACGUCCAAAUAAAAUUUAAAAUAAAAAUUGCGGAAAAAACGCGUCGUUAAAUUAAUACGAAAAUUAAACGGUUUCGGAAAUAAAAACAAAUAUGGUUUAAAAAAAUAAUGCGAACCGUAUUUCGCAAUAUUAAUAAUUUGGAAAAAUUAAAUUAUAUAAAACGUAAAUAAAUAAAAUAGGAAAAACGGCAAUUAACCGAAAUUUUUUUUAAAAUGUUUUUAAAAUUAUUUUUCCCGGGUUCCAAUUUUAUUUAAAAUUCGAUUUUUCCAAUAAAUCUUUUAAUUUUUUUUUUGGAUAAAAUAAGUAUUUUUACGCAAUAUUUAAUUAAUAAAUUGUUUUAUUUAUAUAUUUUAAUUUAUAACGUAUAUUAGUUGUUUUUUUUAAACUCGUUUAAUAAUAUAAUUUCGAAUUUUGGUCGGUUUUUAAUUGUUGGAAAUAAUAAAUAAUAUUUUUUUAAAUUUUCCUUUUUUUUUGGUUAAUUUGUUUGCAAAUCCAAUUUUUAAUAAUAUUGGCGGAACGGUUUUUGGCAAUUUUAAAAAUGGUUAAAAAUUUCCAAAUAUUUUUCUUAUAUUUAUAGUUUUUUUAUCUAAUAAAAUCUUUUGUUUUGCCGUAAUUGCGUUUAUAAUUAAAUAUUUGUUCGACGUUGUACGUUUAUUUUGCGUUAAUUUCGAUUGUUUUUUACGUAUUAAUACCGUAUAAUAUUAAUUUUAAUAAUAAUACAUAAAAUAUGGGGUAAACUCUUAUAAUAUUUAAUAAUAAUGAUUUAUAAUUAAUUUCGCUAAUUUUUUAUUAAUUUUAUAUUCAUUUUAAAAAGUCCAAACCUUUUAAAAUUAAAUUUGCUAUUCGGUCGUUAUAUUUUAAUAUUGCGUCGAAUAAAAUAAACGUUAUUUUUUUUAAAGAAUAGUCCCUUUAUCCGAUAUUAAUUGGCGUAUCUUAUUAUUUUUUUCGUGCAAAUUUUAAUUUCGGCUGGAAUCUUUCGUACAAAUAACGUAAUUUAUUUAUUUAUUUAUUGGCCCGCGGUACCGUAAUUAUAAUUUUGGGUUUUUUAUAUAUUAUAAAAUUAAAUUUAUAAUUUACGUAAAACGGGGUCGUUUUGGUAUUUUCCUUUUUUAAAUUAUUAUAAACAAAUUAUAUAAUAAAUAAUAACCGUAUCCGAUUAUUAUAUUUGUAAUAUAUAUAGUAUUUUAAAUAUUAUUCCAAAAUUU
RNAcentral lists this small RNA (1651 nucleotides) under Pyricularia oryzae. RNAcentral describes it as "Magnaporthe oryzae sRNA M_BR32_EuGene_00101451". Lineage: Eukaryota; Fungi; Ascomycota; Sordariomycetes; Magnaporthales; Pyriculariaceae. The record is from RNAcentral.